RNAcentral lists this transfer RNA (67 nucleotides) under bovine gut metagenome. It matches the Rfam family "tRNA". Rfam says of the family: Transfer RNA (tRNA) molecules are approximately 80 nucleotides in length. Their secondary structure includes four short double-helical elements and three loops (D, anti-codon, and T loops). Further hydrogen bonds mediate the characteristic L-shaped molecular structure. tRNAs have two regions of fundamental functional importance: the anti-codon, which is responsible for specific mRNA codon recognition, and the 3' end, to which the tRNAs corresponding amino acid is attached (by aminoacyl-tRNA synthetases). tRNAs cope with the degeneracy of the genetic code in two manners: having more than one tRNA (with a specific anti-codon) for a particular amino acid; and 'wobble' base-pairing, i.e. permitting non-standard base-pairing at the 3rd anti-codon position. The record is from RNAcentral.
CUUGUAGCUCAGUUGGAUAGAGCAACGGCCUUCUAAGCCGUGGGUCGGGGGUUCGAGACCCUCCAGG